GCCCUAGUAACGGCGAGUGAAGCGGCAACAGCUCAAAUUUGAAAUCUGGCGCAAGCCCGAGUUGUAAUUUGCAGAGGAUGCUUCUGGGCAGCGGCCGGUCUAAGUUCCUUGGAACAGGACGUCAUAGAGGGUGAGAAUCCCGUAUGCGACCGGUUGGCACCCGUCACGUAGCUCCUUCGACGAGUCGAGUUGUUUGGGAAUGCAGCUCUAAAUGGGAGGUAAAUGUCUUCUAAAGCUAAAUACCGGCCAGAGACCGAUAGCGCACAAGUAGAGUGAUCGAAAGAUGAAAAGCACUUUGGAAAGAGAGUUAAAAAGCACGUGAAAUUGUUGAAAGGGAAGCGCAUGCAACCAGACUUGUCGGCGGUGUUCCGCCGGUCUUUUGACCGGUCUACUCGCCGCCGGCAGGCCAGCAUCGUCUGGGAGCGCCGGAGAAAGGCGCCGGGAAUGUAGCCCCUCGGGGUGUUAUAGCCCGGUGCACAAUACGGCGCCUCCCGGGCGAGGUCCGCGCUUCGGCUAGGAUGCUGGCGUAAUGGUCGUUUGCGGCCCGUCUUGAAACACGGACCAAGGAGUCUAACAUCUAUGCGAGUGUUCGGGUGUCAAACCCCUACGCGUAAUGAAAGUGAACGGAGGUGGGAACCGCAAGGUGCACCAUCGACCGAUCCUGAUGUCUUCGGAUGGAUUUGAGUAAGAGCAUAGCUGUUGGGACCCGAAAGAUGGUGAACUAUGCCUGAAUAGGGUGAAGCCAGAGGAAACUCUGGUG
This 760-nucleotide ribosomal RNA is filed under the name Xenoteratosphaeria jonkershoekensis. RNAcentral's name for it is "eukaryotic LSU rRNA". It matches the Rfam family "Eukaryotic large subunit ribosomal RNA", at positions 77 to 869 of the family's 3401-position model. Lineage: Eukaryota; Fungi; Ascomycota; Dothideomycetes; Mycosphaerellales; Teratosphaeriaceae. The record is from RNAcentral.